AAACUCUUUAAACCUGGUGUUAUUUCUAAUGCUAUCGCUAUUCCGUCCAUUGUGCAAGGGGCUAUAGUGUUUAAUAUCUGAGUUAAUAACUCGAAUAGGGCUCUAUGACCAUCCGUCACCUUUACAUGCACUGUACAGGAUCAGAAUGAUUCUGCUGAGAAAAAGUUCGGGGAUAGUACAGACUCAUUCAAACGUAGAGUCCUCACCUUAGUUAGAGCAGGACAAAUAUUUAUUAGUCACUGCAUUAAAGCAGGCAUAUAUUGUGAACAUACAGUUGUCGGAGCCUCAAAAAAUAUCGAAUGUUCCUAAAAACGAAAAUAGCGGAUAUUUGGCCAAACGUCAUUUAACAAAAUAUCCACAUCUUGGCCAUGUUACGUCCUGACCUACGGUUACGAUCGGGUUCUAACGGAG
Molecule: long non-coding RNA, 411 nt
Organism: Pseudomyrmex gracilis
Lineage: Eukaryota; Metazoa; Arthropoda; Insecta; Hymenoptera; Formicidae
Exons: 3
Source: RefSeq, a predicted model, not a curated record